CACCUCUAGCAUUAACAGUAUUAGAGGCACUGCCUGCCCAGUGACAUAUGUUCAACGGCCGCGGUAUCCUGACCGUGCAAAGGUAGCAUAAUCAUUUGUUCUCUAAUUAAGGACUUGCAUGAAUGGCUUGACGAGGGUUUAACUGUCUCUUACUCUUAAUCAGUGAAAUUGACCUCCCCGUGAAGAGGCGGGGAUAAAUAAAUAAGACGAGAAGACCCUAUGGAGCUUAAAUUUACUAAUCUAAGCACUCUAACACCAACUUUCCUCGGAAAUUAAAAUCUCGCCUAUAGGUUACAAAUUUCGGUUGGGGUGACCUCGGAGUACAAAACAACCUCCGAAUGAUUUUAGUUCAGACAUUACAUGUCGAAACUUACAUUCAUCAAUUGACCCAAUUUUAUUGAUCAACGGAACAAGUUACCCUAGGGAUAACAGCGCAAUCCUACUCAAGAGUCCAUAUCGACAGUAGGGUUUACGACCUCGAUGUUGGAUCAGGACAUCCAAAUGGUGUAACCGCUAUUAAUGGUUCGUUUGUUCAACGAUUAAAGUCCU
RNAcentral lists this ribosomal RNA (549 nucleotides) under Petaurista alborufus (red and white giant flying squirrel). Its description in RNAcentral is "partial 16S ribosomal RNA". It matches the Rfam family "Bacterial large subunit ribosomal RNA", at positions 1816 to 2597 of the family's 2925-position model. Lineage: Eukaryota; Metazoa; Chordata; Mammalia; Rodentia; Sciuridae. The record is from RNAcentral.